RNAcentral lists this long non-coding RNA (253 nucleotides) under Capsicum annuum. RNAcentral describes it as "long non-coding RNA (CANN_LNC017006)". The record is from RNAcentral. Lineage: Eukaryota; Viridiplantae; Streptophyta; Magnoliopsida; Solanales; Solanaceae.
GAGGGGUGGGGGAGAAGUAGGGUUGCGUAGCUAUGCAGUGAAAGUAGAGGUCCCAAGAAACUAAUACUGGAUACCACGGCUGCUGAUACUAGGGUCUAAAUGACUGGGAGUUUAGAUUCCCCUUUAUUAUAUGAUUGGAAGGUUGAGUCCCCCAUGUUAUUGACAGUGUGCUUAAGUAAUUCUUGGUAUGUGAUAGGAGGUUCGAGUCCCCCGCAGUGCACAUAGUAUAUGUGAUUAGUCUAUGAUUCGUGCG